Molecule: long non-coding RNA, 692 nt
Organism: Gallus gallus (chicken)
Lineage: Eukaryota; Metazoa; Chordata; Aves; Galliformes; Phasianidae
Source: Ensembl
CUCUGGGAGCAGGUGGGUGGCUGCUGUGGUGCUGGGAGCCUCAGGUCAUCACUUUGCAGGGACUCAUGGUGCUUUGCAACCCUAUCAGCCAUCCAGCAGAAUUCAGCAAGCUGUCCUGAAAUCUCCAUCUGUGCUGCAGCGUGCUUUGGUGAGAUCCCAACACAGCAAACCUUUUGUGAAUGGACUUUGUGAGGAUGUGAGUCGGUGCCAGAGACUUGUUGGUAACUGCUGCCUUCUACUGCUCUGAUGUGGAUUCCACAGCAAGGAGUGGGCUGUUUCCUACAGUGCCCUAAUGUGUCAAUUGAGGAGCAGCAGCAUUUGCUGGAGUGUUUCUGAGAAGUAUGGAGGCAAUGUCAGUAUGGAGCAGAGAGGUUCCUCAGGUCUGGGCCAGGUGCUGCAUGUCCCAGGUGUUCCCCUCACCAUGGCCACAAAGCCCUGAGUGAUCCUUGGCUUGAACCACUUGGUUUUGAAGCCAAGUUUGGGUCCCAUCAAUAGGAAAACUCCUGGAAACACCUUCCUGAUCUAGUUUGCUGUUGGAGCCAUCGAGAGCUUUCUCUUCCAAGAUGAAAGUGGGAUAAAAGCAGCUUCAGGACACAUCUCAGCAUGGAUGGCAAGAGGCAGUUGUACCGGAGUGGUUCUUCACUUUGUGCACAGCCAGGUGAAACACAAACAGUGACAAAUUGAUGAUGGAG